RNAcentral lists this ribosomal RNA (253 nucleotides) under uncultured bacterium. RNAcentral's name for it is "partial 16S ribosomal RNA". It matches the Rfam family "Bacterial small subunit ribosomal RNA", at positions 524 to 776 of the family's 1533-position model. The record is from RNAcentral.
UACGUAGGGUGCGAGCGUUGUCCGGAUUUAUUGGGCGUAAAGAGCUUGUAGGCGGCUCGGCACGUCCGUUGUGAAAUCGCCCGGCUCAACUGGGCGGGGUCAGCGGAUACGGCCGAGCUUGAGCAAGCUAGGGGGCAAUGGAAUUCCCGGUGUAGUGGUGGAAUGCGUAGAUAUCGGGAGGAACACCAGUGGCGAAGGCGGUUGCCUGGGGCUUUGCUGACGCUGAUGCGCGAAAGCGUGGGGAGCGAACAGG